Non-coding RNA from Mus musculus (house mouse), 70 nucleotides. The record is from Rfam. Lineage: Eukaryota; Metazoa; Chordata; Mammalia; Rodentia; Muridae.
GGAGAGAUGGUUCAGUGGUUAAGAGCACUGGGUGUUCUUCCAGAAGAUCUGGGUUCAAUUCCCAGCACCU